RNAcentral lists this ribosomal RNA (435 nucleotides) under uncultured Lactococcus sp. Its description in RNAcentral is "bacterial SSU rRNA". It matches the Rfam family "Bacterial small subunit ribosomal RNA", at positions 942 to 1381 of the family's 1533-position model. The record is from RNAcentral. Lineage: Bacteria; Bacillati; Bacillota; Bacilli; Lactobacillales; Streptococcaceae.
UGGUUUAAUUCGAAGCAACGCGAAGAACCUUACCAGGUCUUGACAUACUCGUGCUAUCCUAGAGAUAGGAAGUUCCUUCGGACACGGGAUACAGGUGGUGCAUGGUUGUCGUCAGCUCGUGUCGUGAGAUGUUGGGUUAAGUCCCGCAACGAGCGCAACCCCUAUUGUUAGUUGCCAUCAUUAAGUUGGGCACUCUAACGAGACUGCCGGUGAUAAACCGGAGGAAGGUGGGGAUGACGUCAAAUCAUCAUGCCCUUAUGACCUGGGCUACACACGUGCUACAAUGGAUGGUACAACGAGUCGCGAGACAGUGAUGUUUAGCUAAUCUCUUAAAACCAUUCUCAGUUCGGAUUGUAGGCUGCAACUCGCCUACAUGAAGUCGGAAUCGUUAGUAAUCGCGGAUCAGCACGCCGCGGUGAAUACGUUCCCGGGCCU